CCUACGGGUGGCAGCAGUCGAGAAUCAUUCACAAUGGGGGAAACCCUGAUGGUGCGACGCCGCGUGGGGGAAUGAAGGUCUUCGGAUUGUAAACCCCUGUCAUGUGGGAGCAAAUUAAAAAGAUAGUACCACAAGAGGAAGAGACGGCUAACUCUGUGCCAGCAGCCGCGGUAAUACAGAGGUCUCAAGCGUUGUUCGGAAUCACGGGGCGUAAGGCGUGCGGAGGCUGUUUCGUAAGUCGUGUGUGAAAGGCGCGGGCUCAACCCGCGGACGGCACAUGAUACUGCGAGACUAGAGUAAUGGAGGGGGAACCGGAAUUCUCGGUGUAGCAGUGAAAUGCGUAGAUAUCGAGAGGAACACUCGUGGCGAAGGCGGGUUCCUGGACAUUAACUGACGCUGAGGCACGAAGGCCAGGGGAGCGAAAGGGAUUAGAUACCCGAGUAGUC
RNAcentral lists this ribosomal RNA (446 nucleotides) under uncultured bacterium. RNAcentral describes it as "partial 16S ribosomal RNA". It matches the Rfam family "Bacterial small subunit ribosomal RNA", at positions 338 to 795 of the family's 1533-position model. The record is from RNAcentral.